CGUGGACAACCUACCUGGGAGCGGGGGAUAACAUGGGGAAACUCGUGCUAAUACCGCAUACGUCUUCGGAACUUUGGUUCUGAAGGGAAAGCUGGCCGAUACAUGUAAGCUGGCACUCCCAGAGGGGUCCGCGUUCGAUUAGCUAGAUGGCGAGGUAACGGCUCACCAUGGCGACGAUCGAUAGCCGGCCUGAGAGGGUGAUCGGCCACACUGGGACUGAGACACGGCCCAG
Molecule: ribosomal RNA, 232 nt
Filed under: uncultured bacterium
Lineage: Bacteria
Description: partial 16S ribosomal RNA
Rfam family: Bacterial small subunit ribosomal RNA
Source: RNAcentral